Molecule: ribosomal RNA, 380 nt
Filed under: uncultured eukaryote
Lineage: Eukaryota
Description: partial 18S ribosomal RNA
Rfam family: Eukaryotic small subunit ribosomal RNA
Source: RNAcentral
CAAUAGCGUAUAUUAAAGUUGUUGCGGUUAAAAAGCUCGUAGUUGGAUUUCUGCCGAGGACGUCCGGUCCGCCCUCUGGGUGUGUACAUGGUACGGCCUGGGCAUCUUCUUGGAAAACGUAUCUGCACUUGACUGUGUGGUGCGGUAUCCAGGACUUUUACUUUGAGGAAAUUAGAGUGUUUCAAGCAGGCCUACGCCUUGAAUACAUUAGCAUGGAAUAAUAAGAUAGGACCUCGGUUCUAUUUUGUUGGUUUCUAGAGCUGAGGUAAUGAUUAAUAGGGAUAGUUGGGGGCAUUCGUAUUUAACUGUCAGAGGUGAAAUUCUUGGAUUUGUUAAAGACGGACUGCUGCGAAAGCAUUUGCCAAGGAUGUUUUCAUUGA